Molecule: ribosomal RNA, 482 nt
Filed under: uncultured bacterium
Lineage: Bacteria
Description: partial 16S ribosomal RNA
Rfam family: Bacterial small subunit ribosomal RNA
Source: RNAcentral
AUUGAACGCUGGCGGCAUGCUUUACACAUGCAAGUCGAACGGUAACAGGCCGCAAGGUGCUGACGAGUGGCGAACGGGUGAGUAAUGCAUCGGAACGUGCCCAGUCGUGGGGGAUAACUACUCGAAAGAGUAGCUAAUACCGCAUACGAUCUAUGGAUGAGAGCGGGGGACCGUAAGGCCUCGCGCGAUUGGAUCGGCCGAUGUCAGAUUAGGUAGUUGGUGGGGUAAAGGCUCACCAAGCCAACGAUCUGUAGCGGGUCUGAGAGGACGACCAGCCACACUGGGACUGAGACACGGCCCAGACUCCUACGGGAGGCAGCAGUGGGGAAUUUUGGACAAUGGGCGGAAGCCUGAUCCAGCAAUGCCGCGUGCAGGAAGAAGGCCUUCGGGUUGUAAACUGCUUUUGUACGGAACGAAACGGCUCUGGUUAAUACCCGGGGCUAAUGACGGUACCGGAAGAAUAAGCACCGGCUAACUACGUG